AUUGAACGCUGGCGGCAUGCUUUACACAUGCAAGUCGAACGGUAACAGGCCUUCGGGUGCUGACGAGUGGCGAACGGGUGAGUAAUGCAUCGGAACGUACCCAGAGGUGGGGGAUAACGCAGCGAAAGCUGUGCUAAUACCGCAUGUGAUCUGAGGAUGAAAGCGGGGGACCGAGCAGCAAUGUUUGGCCUCGCGCCUUUGGAGCGGCCGAUGUCGGAUUAGCUAGUUGGUGGGGUAAAGGCCUACCAAGGCGACGAUCCGUAGCUGGUCUGAGAGGACGACCAGCCACACUGGGACUGAGACACGGCCCAGACUCCUACGGGAGGCAGCAGUGGGGAAUUUUGGACAGUGGGCGCGAGCCUGAUCCAGCAAUGCCGCGUGCGGGAAGAAGGCCUUCGGGUUGUAAACCGCUUUUGGCAGGAACGAAACGGUGUCCGCUAAUACCGGGCGCUAAUGACGGUACCUGCAGAAUAAGCACCGGCUAACUACGU
Molecule: ribosomal RNA, 491 nt
Filed under: uncultured bacterium
Lineage: Bacteria
Description: partial 16S ribosomal RNA
Rfam family: Bacterial small subunit ribosomal RNA
Source: RNAcentral